GUCUACGGCCAUACCACCCUGAACGCGCCCGAUCUCGUCUGAUCUCGGAAGCUAAGCAGGGUCGGGCCUGGUUAGUACUUGGAUGGGAGAAUCUCCUUGUGCAAAGACC
This 109-nucleotide ribosomal RNA is filed under the name Panthera pardus (leopard). The record is from RNAcentral. Lineage: Eukaryota; Metazoa; Chordata; Mammalia; Carnivora; Felidae.